RNAcentral lists this ribosomal RNA (452 nucleotides) under uncultured eukaryote. Its description in RNAcentral is "partial 18S ribosomal RNA". It matches the Rfam family "Eukaryotic small subunit ribosomal RNA", at positions 457 to 889 of the family's 1831-position model. The record is from RNAcentral.
CAGGGAGGUAGUGACGAUAAAUAACAAUGAUUCAAUGAUAACAAAGUUGAAUUAAUUGGAAUGAGAACAAUAUAAAUCCCUUAUCGAGUAACAAUUUCAGGGGCAAGUUCUGGUGCCAGCAGCCGCGGUAAUUCCAGCUGAAAAAGCGUAUACGAAUAUUGUUGCAGUUAAAACGCUCGUAGUUGGAAUAAAAUAUAAAUAAACAAUAAAUUUAACAGUGUUAAUUUUAUUAUUUAUUUUAUUUUUUUAAAUUUUAUAUUUUUUUAAGGUAAUUAAAAAAAUAUAUAUUUUACUUUGAAUAAAUUAGAGUGCUUUAAGCAGAUUGAUUUUUAUGUUAAUAAAAAUCAUUUAAAAAUGUUUGAAUAAUUUAGCAUAGAAUAAAAUAAUAAGAUUUGAAAGAUAAGAUUUGGUAAUUAUGUAGCAAAUAAUGAUAAAUAGGAAUAGUUGGGGGG